GAAUGUGAGGGCCAUCUGGCUGCGGCAUCUGUCACCCCAUUGAUCUCCAGGGCUGAUCGGCUGACCUGGCUGGCGAGACGGGUGUCCCCUUCCUCUCUCACACUCCGUGGCAUCUCUCCCAAAGCUGCACACUCUGUUGAAGAGGACGACCUUCCCGGAUAGAGGAGAAGACCGUUCUUCGGUCAAGGGCAUACGAGUAACUUUGCUCCCCUGCUAGAACUUCCAAACAAGCUCUCAGUGUCUACUUAUAGAACAUGGAGGGUAGUCAAGCUUCCAAGACUCCAGGCACAUCCAAAUGAGGCAUUGUACAGGGCAGUCUGCCUUUCUAA
Molecule: unclassified non-coding RNA, 329 nt
Organism: Pteropus vampyrus (large flying fox)
Lineage: Eukaryota; Metazoa; Chordata; Mammalia; Chiroptera; Pteropodidae
Gene: 7SK
Rfam family: 7SK RNA
About the family: 7SK was discovered as an abundant small nuclear RNA in the mid-70s but a possible function has only recently been suggested. Two independent studies have found that 7SK RNA binds the CDK9/cyclin T complex (known as elongation factor P-TEFb).
Source: Ensembl